Pelobates cultripes (western spadefoot toad) is the source of this 220-nucleotide non-coding RNA. NCBI's taxonomy places the organism in Eukaryota, Metazoa, Chordata, Amphibia, Anura, Pelobatidae. The record is from the annotation of a GenBank genome assembly.
CUCGAAUCUCUGCCAUUUUGGAGUUAAAUCACUAUUGUUUCUCUUUAUGCAACCCUAGUCAUACAGCCCUCUUGAAAAGUGGUUUUAUUUUCGAACCACUCUUACAGCACAGUGUGUUUACUGUAGAUGUUCUUAUCGCCUGCUCUUUGAAUUACAUUUUAAUUAAACACAGGCAGCUAAACGAGCGAAAGAUAACAUUUCUAAAUUAAACACACUGUGC